CAGGGAAGCUGUGCUAGAUAAGACUCAAUGGCCUGAAACAUGAAGUGAAAAUAACACAUUAGUUGUCAGCACAGCCAGUUGAAAAGGUGCAUUGGUUAAAAUAUUCUUUUGUUUUACAUAACUUAGUAAAUAAAUCACAGUUCAAACACUAAUUUCUAACAUUUCAUUUACAUGAUUUUCCCAUUACAAACAUCACAACAUACUGGAUAACUUUAAAAAACAGUGACUAUAAAAAA
This is a long non-coding RNA of Sander lucioperca (pikeperch), 236 nucleotides long. RefSeq lists it as uncharacterized. The transcript has 2 exons. The record is from RefSeq and is a predicted model, not a curated record. Lineage: Eukaryota; Metazoa; Chordata; Actinopteri; Perciformes; Percidae.